This 400-nucleotide unclassified non-coding RNA is filed under the name soil metagenome. Its description in RNAcentral is "partial contains 5.8S ribosomal RNA, internal transcribed spacer 2, and large subunit ribosomal RNA". The stretch from base 1 to 122 matches the Rfam family "5.8S ribosomal RNA", at positions 35 to 154 of the family's 154-position model. The record is from RNAcentral.
GAUGAAGAACGUAGCGAAAUGCGAUACUUGGUGUGAAUUGCAGAAUCCAGUGAACCAUCGAGUCUUUGAACGCAAGUUGCGCCUCAAGCCAUUAGGUUGAGGGCACGUCUGCCUGGGCGUCACAUAUCGUUGCCUGAUGCUAGUUUCCUCGUGAUGGGUGACUGUGCAGGGCGAAUGAUGGCUUCCCGUGAGCAUUGUUGCCUCAUGGUUGGUUGAAAAUUGAGUCCUUGGUAGUGAGCGCCGUGAUAGAUGGUGGUUGAGUGACGAACGAGACCCAAUCAUGUGAGACCCCUACCGAAUUUGGCCUUCAUGACCCACGUGCGUCUUUGGAACGCUCAUGACGAGACCUCAGGUCAGGCGGGGCUACCCGCUGAGUUUAAGCAUAUCAAUAAGCGGAGGA